ACCAACUGGUCUCUGACUGGGUCCGUCUGCUGUUUGCUGAUGGGCAGAUCACAUCGUGCUUGUUGACAAAGAUUGAAACUUGAAUAAUGUCGGCAACAAACCCAGACACAACAACAGAGAACAUGGAGAACGAAGGCGACUACGGCUGCGUUCAGACUGACUUUGACGCUGAGUGAAAAUACGCCGCCUUCUCAACUGCUGCCGCGGCACGACAUCAUCCGGCAGGACGCCGCAUUGCCCAGAGACCUGGACCCUUCUGAUGGAUCACGGACUCACUGUCUUGUUUUGACCACUGUUCAAUUCCACUGGCUUUUUAGGAAAAUAUUA
Xiphias gladius (swordfish) is the source of this 327-nucleotide long non-coding RNA. RefSeq lists it as uncharacterized. The record is from RefSeq and is a predicted model, not a curated record. The transcript is spliced from 4 exons. NCBI's taxonomy places the organism in Eukaryota, Metazoa, Chordata, Actinopteri, Istiophoriformes, Xiphiidae.